Non-coding RNA from Ciona intestinalis (vase tunicate), 337 nucleotides. NCBI's taxonomy places the organism in Eukaryota, Metazoa, Chordata, Ascidiacea, Phlebobranchia, Cionidae. The record is from RefSeq and is a predicted model, not a curated record.
AAAAAUUCAUAUAACUAUGACAUCAUAGAACAAAACUUAUCGAAUGUUCUUUAGACUACUGUUUAUUUUAAAAGCUAAAGCAGUAGUUGAGUCGUUAAGCGUCUGUUACCAAAGUUAGUAUAGACUAACUUUGUCUGUUACAUAUGGCCACACAUCGAAGUUUAUGUUAGAUACGUUCGUUCUAGCUGAGUGUUCUGUUUCCAUGAAUCUGCUGUCAAGAGUCAAGUCAUCUCACUAAAUGUGAGAAUAGAAAUAGAUUUCUUAGAUUCGGUACAAUUGAUAAGUUCCUGUCUGAGGUAUGAGUACGUUCUGUAAUGUUUUGUAUAGUCUACCUCUG